RNAcentral lists this transfer RNA (82 nucleotides) under Pterocladiophila hemisphaerica. RNAcentral's name for it is "tRNA-Leu". It matches the Rfam family "tRNA". Rfam says of the family: Transfer RNA (tRNA) molecules are approximately 80 nucleotides in length. Their secondary structure includes four short double-helical elements and three loops (D, anti-codon, and T loops). Lineage: Eukaryota; Rhodophyta; Florideophyceae; Gracilariales; Pterocladiophilaceae. The record is from RNAcentral.
GGGGAUGUGGUGAAAUGGUAAACACAGUAGACUUAAAAUCUAUUGAUUUUUAAUCAUAAAGGUUCAACUCCUUUCUUCCCUA